RNAcentral lists this ribosomal RNA (330 nucleotides) under uncultured bacterium. RNAcentral describes it as "bacterial SSU rRNA". It matches the Rfam family "Bacterial small subunit ribosomal RNA", at positions 32 to 356 of the family's 1533-position model. The record is from RNAcentral.
AAUCAACGCUGGCGGCGUGCCUCAGACAUGCAAGUCGAACGAUUAAAGCUCCCUUGGGGAGUGCAUAAAGUGGCGCACGGGUGAGUAACACGUAAGUAAUCUACCCUCGAGUGGGGAAUAACGUCCGGAAACGGACGCUAAUACCGCAUAAUGCAGCGGCACCGCAAGGUGACAGUUGUUAAAGAUUUAUUGCUUGAGGAGGAGCUUGCGGCAGAUUAGCUAGUUGGAAGGUAAUGGCUUACCAAGGCAACGAUCUGUAGCCGGUCUAAGAGGACGGUCGGUCACACUGACACUGAAUAACGGGUCAGACUCCUACGGGAGGCAGCAGUC